GUAUGCGAUCAUACCAGCACUAAAGCACCGGAUCCCAUCAGAACUUUGAAGUUAAGCGUGCUUGGGCGAGAGUAGUACUAGGAUGGGUGACCUCCUGGGAAGUCCUCGUGUUGCAUUCC
Molecule: ribosomal RNA, 119 nt
Filed under: Triticum aestivum (bread wheat)
Lineage: Eukaryota; Viridiplantae; Streptophyta; Magnoliopsida; Poales; Poaceae
Source: RNAcentral